UACGUAGGGUGCAAGCGUUAAUCGGAAUUACUGGGCGUAAAGCGUGCGCAGGCGGUUUUGUAAGUCUGUCGUGAAAUCCCCGGGCUCAACCCGGGAACUGCGUCCGAUACUGGAAGGCUUGAAUCCGGGAGAGGGAUGCGGAAUUCCAGGUGUAGCGGUGAAAUGCGUAGAUAUCUGGAGGAACACCGGUGGCGAAGGCGGCAUCCUGGACCGGUAUUGACGCUGAGGCGCGAAAGCCAGGGGAGCAAACGGG
RNAcentral lists this ribosomal RNA (253 nucleotides) under uncultured bacterium. Its description in RNAcentral is "partial 16S ribosomal RNA". It matches the Rfam family "Bacterial small subunit ribosomal RNA", at positions 524 to 776 of the family's 1533-position model. The record is from RNAcentral.